RNAcentral lists this ribosomal RNA (1239 nucleotides) under Bacillus cereus. Its description in RNAcentral is "bacterial SSU rRNA". It matches the Rfam family "Bacterial small subunit ribosomal RNA", at positions 49 to 1225 of the family's 1533-position model. Lineage: Bacteria; Bacillati; Bacillota; Bacilli; Caryophanales; Bacillaceae. The record is from RNAcentral.
CUAUACAUGCAAGUCGAGCGAAUGGAUUAAGAGCUUGCUCUUAUGAAGUUAGCGGCGGACGGGUGAGUAACACGUGGGUAACCUGCCCAUAAGACUGGGAUAACUCCGGGAAACCGGGGCUAAUACCGGAUAACAUUUUGAACCGCAUGGUUCGAAAUUGAAAGGCGGCUUCGGCUGUCACUUAUGGAUGGACCCGCGUCGCAUUAGCUAGUUGGUGAGGUAACGGCUCACCAAGGCAACGAUGCGUAGCCGACCUGAGAGGGUGAUCGGCCACACUGGGACUGAGACACGGCCCAGACUCCUACGGGAGGCAGCAGUAGGGAAUCUUCCGCAAUGGACGAAAGUCUGACGGAGCAACGCCGCGUGAGUGAUGAAGGCUUUCGGGUCGUAAAACUCUGUUGUUAGGGAAGAACAAGUGCUAGUUGAAUAAGCUGGCACCUUGACGGUACCUAACCAGAAAGCCACGGCUAACUACGUGCCAGCAGCCGCGGUAAUACGUAGGUGGCAAGCGUUAUCCGGAAUUAUUGGGCGUAAAGCGCGCGCAGGUGGUUUCUUAAGUCUGAUGUGAAAGCCCACGGCUCAACCGUGGAGGGUCAUUGGAAACUGGGAGACUUGAGUGCAGAAGAGGAAAGUGGAAUUCCAUGUGUAGCGGUGAAAUGCGUAGAGAUAUGGAGGAACACCAGUGGCGAAGGCGACUUUCUGGUCUGUAACUGACACUGAGGCGCGAAAGCGUGGGGAGCAAACAGGAUUAGAUACCCUGGUAGUCCACGCCGUAAACGAUGAGUGCUAAGUGUUAGAGGGUUUCCGCCCUUUAGUGCUGAAGUUAACGCAUUAAGCACUCCGCCUGGGGGAGUACGGCCGCAAGGCUGAAACUCAAAGGAAUUGACGGGGGGCCCGCACAAGCGGUGGGAGCAUGUGGUUUUAAUUCGAAAUCAACGCGAAAGAACCUUUACCAGGUCCUGGACAUCCUCUGAAAACCCUAAGAGAUAGGGCUUUCUUCCUUCGGGCAGCAGAAGUGACAAGGUGGUUGCAUGGGUUGUCCGUCAGCUUCUUGUCCCUGAAGAUGUUUGAGUUUAAGUCGCCGCAACCCACCGCCACCCCUUGGAUCUUAGUUGGCCAUCAUUAAAAUUGGGUCAAUCUUAGGGUGAACUGCCCGUUGAACAAGCCCGGAAAGAAAAGUUGGGAGAUGAAGGGCCGAUUCAAUCAUUGCCCACUUUAUGAACCCGGUGUCUUAAACGC